AUGGUGUGGUCCUUCUGCCGCUGCACGAAGAAUUUCACGGGGCCGAUCUUCAUCUGGUGGGCCUCCUGCUGCCGCUCCUCCUGGGCCAACUUCUUCAGGCGCUCCCGCUCUGGAUGCUGCUGCGGCGUGAUGGGCACCGACUCCUCCUGCUCCUCCAGCGGCGUGGGCUGCAAAGUCUCGCUGGGGGUCUUUGUCCCCGGCUGCUGGCGCUGCAGCGUCUUGGCCCCGCUGGCUUGGGGCCGGAGCCUGUCCUGGGGCCGCACGGCACGGGCACAGGCACGAGGCUUCAUGGGGAGGGGCUCCGGCAGCAGCAGCGUUCUGCAAAGAGGCUGCGCCCUGCUCCUAGCCCCCCAGCAGUCCCCGGGCUUCGCCCUCUCUUGCUGGGCGCCCUGGUGCUGUCGCUCACCGGCUGCUGCCUGCCACUGCCCGCUUGGCUGCUGCUGCCAGCCAGCGAGCUGUGGCCACCUGUCUUACCCUGGCGCAGCGUCUUGGGGCCUUGGCCAGCCUGGACCAGCAGCAGCGUCUUCUCCUUGCCAGGGGUCUUGUCUGUCGUUGGCCUCCUGUGCUGGGAGCUCUGCGCUGUGCUGGGGGUGCCGGUGGGCGCGGGGCGCUUGGUCCCCCACUUGGUGCCGGUGGGCGCAGGGGCAGGCGGGGGGCUCUGAAGGGGACUGCGAAGGGGACUGGGCAGGGCUCUCCUCAGGGCUGGGAGAAGUUGAGUCCUCUUGAGGGGAGCCAAGGGAGGCUGGGGCAGGGGUCUCCUGCGGGCAGGGUCGGGGAGGCUCUGGAGGGGACUCAAGCGAGGCUUGGGCAGGGCUCUCCUGAGGGCAGUGAGGAAGUCAGGGUCGGGGGGGCUCUGGACGGGAGCCGAGGGAGGCUUGGGCAGGGGUCUCCUGCGGGCAGGGAGCCAGUCAGGGUCGGGGGGCCUCUUGAGGGGAGCCAAGGGAGGCUGGGGCAGGGUUCUCUUGCGGGCAGGGGCCAGGCAGCCACCGUUGGCGGCACGGCUGCAACGACGAAGGGGGAGUUUUGCGUCUGCGCGACCCGCAGAAGCCGUCUGGGGAAACCCUCUGUGGGAAAAAGGGCGCUGGGCUGAGCUCUGGGGCGCUGGGCUCGCCAGCAGGGCCGCAGCCCCGGGAGGAGCGGGAGCCGGCUGCUGGACCUGCCAUGGUGGCUGGAGAGUGUGGGGCGGUUGCUUGGGGAACCCGCGCAACGGCGGUUCCAUCCCAAUGGCUGACCAGCCCCUCGCUGACAUCUUGGGGAGGACUGCAGGCUUUGGAGCCAAGCAGGCUGCCCAGCGCAAGACUUGGCCAUCCCCAGCAGGCUUGCCCUCCCAUGCAGCACUUGCCAUGCUGUCGUGGUUUAACCCGGCCGGCAGCUAAACACCACGCAGCCGUUCGCUCACCCUCCCCCCUCCCUCUCUGGGACGGGGGAGGGAAAUGGAGAGUGAAGCCUGUGAGUUGAGAUAAAGACAGUUUAAUAAGACAGGAAAAUAAUAAUAACAAAAAUAAUAAUAACAAUAAUAAUAAUAAUGAUACAAUGGUGAUAAUACGAAAGUAAUAGUAUGUACAAACAAGUGAUGCACAAUGCAAUUGCUCACCACCCGCUGACCGAUGCCCAGCCUCACCCCGAGCAGUCUGGCCCCCUCCCCCCAGCUAGCCACCCCUAUAUAUUGUUUAGCAUGACGUCAGAUGGUAUGGAAUACCCCUUUGGCUAGUUUGGGUCACCUGUC
RNAcentral lists this long non-coding RNA (1726 nucleotides) under Anas platyrhynchos platyrhynchos (common mallard). RNAcentral describes it as "lncRNA (ENSAPLG00000031197.1)". Lineage: Eukaryota; Metazoa; Chordata; Aves; Anseriformes; Anatidae. The record is from RNAcentral.